This 288-nucleotide ribosomal RNA is filed under the name uncultured soil bacterium. RNAcentral describes it as "partial 16S ribosomal RNA". It matches the Rfam family "Bacterial small subunit ribosomal RNA", at positions 26 to 316 of the family's 1533-position model. The record is from RNAcentral.
AGAUUGAACGCUGGCGGCAGGCCUAACACAUGCAAGUCGAGCGGUAGAGAGGUGCUUGCACCUCUUGAGAGCGGCGGACGGGUGAGUAAUGCCUAGGAAUCUGCCUAGUGGUGGGGGAUAACGUUCGGAAACGGACGCUAAUACCGCAUACGUCCUACGGGAGAAAGCGGGGGACCUUCGGGCCUCGCGCCACUAGAUGAGCCUAGGUCGGAUUAGCUAGUUGGUGAGGUAAUGGCUCACCAAGGCGACGAUCCGUAACUGGUCUGAGAGGAUGAUCAGUCACACUGG